AUGAACGCUAGCGGCAGGCCUAACACAUGCCAGUCGAGGGGUAGAAGGAGCUUGCUCCUUUGAGACCGGCGCACGGGUGCGUAACGCGUAUGCAAUCUACCUUGUACAGGGGAAUAGCCCAGAGAAAUUUGGAUUAAUGCCCCAUAGUAUAUAACCUUCGCAUGUUGGUUAUAUUAAAGUUCCAACGGUACAAGAUGAGCAUGCGUCCCAUUAGUUAGUUGGUAAGGUAACGGCUUACCAAGACGAUGAUGGGUAGGGGUCCUGAGAGGGAGAUCCCCCACACUGGUACUGAGACACGGACCAGACUCCUACGGGAGGCAGCAGUGAGGAAUAUUGGUCAAUGGUCGCAAGACUGAACCAGCCAUGCCGCGUGCAGGAAGACGGUCCUAUGGAUUGUAAACUGCUUUUAUACAGGAAGAAACCCUCCCACGUGUGGGAGCUUGACGGUACUGUAGGAAUAAGGAUCGGCUAACUCCGUG
Molecule: ribosomal RNA, 479 nt
Filed under: uncultured bacterium
Lineage: Bacteria
Description: partial 16S ribosomal RNA
Rfam family: Bacterial small subunit ribosomal RNA
Source: RNAcentral